Sus scrofa (pig) is the source of this 533-nucleotide long non-coding RNA. RefSeq lists it as uncharacterized. The record is from RefSeq and is a predicted model, not a curated record. NCBI's taxonomy places the organism in Eukaryota, Metazoa, Chordata, Mammalia, Artiodactyla, Suidae.
CAGGAAAUGGAAGUAAGGGUUGGGUCCUUUUCAUCUCUGCUAUCAGUUGCUUUACCGCUUCGUCACUGUGCCAAAGGUACCUUUGCAGGCCAGAUAACAAAGCUCUACAAAAACCUGCAUGUAGGGCGUGGCCCUCAAAAAGACAAAAAAGCAAAAUGGAAGAGUUCUCUUGUGGCAGUCCCUGGCCUGGGAACUUCUAUGUACCGUGAGUAUGGCCAAAAAAUAGAAUACGUUUUUUAAUGUAUCUCAUAUUGUCUCUUGGACACUUGUGCUUGAGGAAAAGCAGAGAUACAGAUGUUCAAUUAGAUGUACCUAGAUGCUUGUGAAAUGUGGAAGGGGACUUCAGAUACUAUAAAGAUGCCAUUCUUGACUCAAAAUGUGGUUUUGCAUUACUUUACUAUGUAACCCAACAAUUCCACUUAACAGGUAUAUACCCAAGAGAAUUGAAAGGAUAUCCACACAAAACGUUCUAUAUGAAGGUUCAUAGCAGCACUAUUUGUAAUAGCUAAAGUGUAGAAAUAAUCAAAAAAAAA